Molecule: ribosomal RNA, 253 nt
Filed under: uncultured bacterium
Lineage: Bacteria
Description: partial 16S ribosomal RNA
Rfam family: Bacterial small subunit ribosomal RNA
Source: RNAcentral
UACAGGGGGUGCAAACGUUGCUCGGAAUUACUGGGCGUAAAGGGCGCGUAGGCGGAUAUCUAAGUUGGGGGUGAAAUCCCGGGGCUCAACCUCGGAAUUGCCUUCAAAACUGGAUAUCUUGAGUUCGGGAGAGGUGAGUGGAACUCCGAGUGUAGAGGUGAAAUUCGUAGAUAUUCGGAAGAACACCAGUGGCGAAGGCGACUCACUGGCCCGAUACUGACGUUGAGGUGCGAAAGCGUGGGGAGCAAACAGG